GAUGAACGCUGGCGGCGUGCCUAAUACAUGCAAGUCGAGCGAACAGACGAGGAGCUUGCUCCUUUGACGUUAGCGGCGGACGGGUGAGUAACACGUAGGUAACCUACCUAUAAGACUGGGAUAACUUCGGGAAACCGGAGCUAAUACCGGAUAAUAUUUCGAACCGCAUGGUUCGAUAGUGAAAGAUGGCUUUGCUAUCACUUAUAGAUGGACCUGCGCCGUAUUAGCUAGUUGGUAAGGUAACGGCUUACCAAGGCAACGAUACGUAGCCGACCUGAGAGGGAUGACGGCCACCAGGGAAGAGAGACCCGGUCCAGACCCCCGCGGGGGGCCGCAGUAGGGUAUUCGCCGCAAGGGGCGAAAGCCUGACGGAGCAACGCCGCGUGGGUGAAAGAGGUUCUCGGAGCGAAAAACUCUUUUUUUUGGGAAAAAAAAACGUGUAAAUAACUGGGCACGUUUUGGGGGUACCUAAACAAAAAGCCCCCGCUAACCACG
RNAcentral lists this ribosomal RNA (495 nucleotides) under uncultured bacterium. Its description in RNAcentral is "partial 16S ribosomal RNA". It matches the Rfam family "Bacterial small subunit ribosomal RNA", at positions 28 to 505 of the family's 1533-position model. The record is from RNAcentral.